CCUGGCGGCACUAGCGCGGUGGUCCCACCUGACCCCAUGCCGAACUCAGAAGUGAAACGCCGUAGCGCCGAUGGUAGUGUGGGGUCUCCCCAUGCGAGAGUAG
This 103-nucleotide ribosomal RNA is filed under the name Salmonella enterica subsp. enterica serovar Infantis. The record is from RNAcentral. RNAcentral also lists the same sequence under 15 other names. Lineage: Bacteria; Pseudomonadati; Pseudomonadota; Gammaproteobacteria; Enterobacterales; Enterobacteriaceae.